ACAAGCGGUGGAGUAUGUGGUUUAAUUCGAUGCAACGCGAAGAACCUUACCUGGUCUUGACAUCCCGGAGACCCUUAGGAAACUAGGGGGUGCUUCCAGUCUGGAAGAAUCUGGAGACAGGUGCUGCAUGGCUGUCGUCAGCUCGUGUCGUGAGAUGUUGGGUUAAGUCCCGCAACGAGCGCAACCCUUGCCUUUAGUUGCCAGCAGUUCGGCUGGGCACUCUAAAGGGACUGCCGGUGUUAAACCGGAGGAAGGUGGGGAUGACGUCAAGUCCUCAUGGCCUUUAUGACCAGGGCUACACACGUACUACAAUGGCCGAUACAAAGGGCAGCGACACUGCGAGGUGAAGCCAAUCCCGUAAAAUCGGUCUCAGUCCGGAUUGGAGUCUGCAACUCGACUCCAUGAAGUUGGAAUCGCUAGUAAUCGUGGAUCAGCAUGCCACGGUGAAUACGUUCCCGGGCCUU
RNAcentral lists this ribosomal RNA (464 nucleotides) under uncultured Desulfobulbus sp. RNAcentral's name for it is "bacterial SSU rRNA". It matches the Rfam family "Bacterial small subunit ribosomal RNA", at positions 925 to 1382 of the family's 1533-position model. The record is from RNAcentral. Lineage: Bacteria; Pseudomonadati; Thermodesulfobacteriota; Desulfobulbia; Desulfobulbales; Desulfobulbaceae.